Molecule: ribosomal RNA, 887 nt
Filed under: Escherichia coli
Lineage: Bacteria; Pseudomonadati; Pseudomonadota; Gammaproteobacteria; Enterobacterales; Enterobacteriaceae
Description: partial 23S ribosomal RNA
Rfam family: Bacterial large subunit ribosomal RNA
Source: RNAcentral
GAACUCGCUGUGAAGAUGCAGUGUACCCGCGGCAAGACGGAAAGACCCCGUGAACCUUUACUAUAGCUUGACACUGAACAUUGAGCCUUGAUGUGUAGGAUAGGUGGGAGGCUUUGAAGUGUGGACGCCAGUCUGCAUGGAGCCGGCCUUGAAAUACCACCCUUUAAUGUUUGAUGUUCUAACGUUGGCCCCUGAUCGGGGUUGCGGACAGUGUCUGGUGGGUAGUUUGACUGGGGCGGUCUCCUCCUAAAGAGUAACGGAGGAGCACGAAGGUUGGCUAAUCCUGGUCGGACAUCAGGAGGUUAGUGCAAUGGCAUAAGCCAGCUUGACUGCGAGCGUGACGGCGCGAGCAGGUGCGAAAGCAGGUCAUAGUGAUCCGGUGGUUCUGAAUGGAAGGGCCAUCGCUCAACGGAUAAAAGGUACUCCGGGGAUAACAGGCUGAUACCGCCCAAGAGUUCAUAUCGACGGCGGUGUUUGGCACCUCGAUGUCGGCUCAUCACAUCCUGGGGCUGAAGUAGGUCCCAAGGGUAUGGCUGUUCGCCAUUUAAAGUGGUACGCGAGCUGGGUUUAGAACGUCGUGAGACAGUUCGGUCCCUAUCUGCCGUGGGCGCUGGAGAACUGAGGGGGGCUGCUCCUAGUACGAGAGGACCGGAGUGGACGCAUCACUGGUGUUCGGGUUGUCAUGCCAAUGGCACUGCCCGGUAGCUAAAUGCGGAAGAGAUAAGUGCUGAAAGCAUCUAAGCACGAAACUUGCCCCGAGAUGAGUUCUCCCUGACUCCUUGAGAGUCCUGAAGGAACGUUGAAGACGACGACGUUGAUAGGCCGGGUGUGUAAGCGCAGCGAUGCGUUGAGCUAACCGGUACUAAUGAACCGUGAGGCUUAACCUU